UUGAUAAUUGAAGUAGGCAGAAGAAUCCUGAGCCCGAGAACCUAUUUGAUGAUCAUUAUCUUUUGCGCCGCCAUCUGAAGGAUAGGUCUCAUCCUCAUUAUAAUUAGAAACAGAAGCACCAGCACUGCACAAGCACAAAUCAUGGAGAAAUUGUAACUUGGAAAAGAGAUGUCUUAGUCCCAAAAGGGAAAAAACAUGUAACACCUCCAAGUAAUUUAAAAAAUAAAACUAUGCCAC
This 237-nucleotide long non-coding RNA is filed under the name Nicotiana benthamiana. RNAcentral's name for it is "long non-coding RNA (NBEN_LNC001033)". The record is from RNAcentral. Lineage: Eukaryota; Viridiplantae; Streptophyta; Magnoliopsida; Solanales; Solanaceae.